UAGGGAAUCUUCCGCAAUGGGCGAAAGCCUGACGGAGCAACGCCGCGUGAGUGAUGAAGGUCUUCGGAUCGUAAAACUCUGUUAUUAGGGAAGAACAAAUGUGUAAGUAACUAUGCACGUCUUGACGGUACCUAAUCAGAAAGCCACGGCUAACUACGUGCCAGCAGCCGCGGUAAUACGUAGGUGGCAAGCGUUAUCCGGAAUUAUUGGGCGUAAAGCGCGCGUAGGCGGUUUUUUAAGUCUGAUGUGAAAGCCCACGGCUCAACCGUGGAGGGUCAUUGGAAACUGGAAAACUUGAGUGCAGAAGAGGAAAGUGGAAUUCCAUGUGUAGAGGUGAAAUGCGCAGAGAUAUGGGGGAACACCAGUGGCGAAGGCGACUUUCUGGUCUGUAACUGACGCUGAUGUGCGAAAGCGUGGGGAUCAAACAGA
RNAcentral lists this ribosomal RNA (429 nucleotides) under Actinomycetes bacterium. RNAcentral's name for it is "Actinobacteria bacterium partial 16S ribosomal RNA". It matches the Rfam family "Bacterial small subunit ribosomal RNA", at positions 355 to 776 of the family's 1533-position model. The record is from RNAcentral. Lineage: Bacteria; Bacillati; Actinomycetota; Actinomycetes.